UACAGAGGGGGUAAGCGUUGUUCGGAAUUACUGGGCGUAAAGGGCGCGUAGGCGGCCUGUUAAGUCGAACGUGAAAUCCCCGGGCUCAACCCGGGAACUGCGUCCGAUACUGACAGGCUUGAAUCCGGGAGAGGGAUGCGGAAUUCCAGGUGUAGCGGUGAAAUGCGUAGAUAUCUGGAGGAACACCGGUGGCGAAGGCGGCAUCCUGGACCGGCAUUGACGCUGAGGCGCGAAAGCGUGGGGAGCAAACAGG
This 253-nucleotide ribosomal RNA is filed under the name uncultured bacterium. RNAcentral's name for it is "partial 16S ribosomal RNA". It matches the Rfam family "Bacterial small subunit ribosomal RNA", at positions 524 to 776 of the family's 1533-position model. The record is from RNAcentral.